UGAAUACGAGACGCUAAGGCGUCGAAGUAGUGUAUGUCAUACUUCCAAGAAAAGCUUGCACUGUCAUAGAUAAAAAACGCCUGUACCAUAACCGACACAGGUGGGUAGGUAGAGUAUACUAAGGGGCGCGAGAUAACUCUCUCUAAGGAACUCGGCAAAAUAACUCCGUAACUUCGGGAGAAGGAGUGCCUUAUUCUUAAGGUUGCAAUAACAAGAUCCAAGCAACUGUUUAUCAAAAACACAGGUCUCCGCUAAGUCGUAAGACGAUGUAUGGGGGCUGACGCCUGCCCAGUGCCAGAAGGUUAAAGAAGCUGGUUAGCAUUUGCGAAGCUAGUAACUGAAGCCCUGGUGAACGGCGGCCGUAACAAUAACGGUCCUAAGGUAGCGAAAUUCCUUGUCGGGUAAGUUCCGACCCGCACGAAAGGCGUAAUGAUUUGGAUACUGUCUCGGAGAGGGGCUCGGUGAAAUAGACUUGUCUGUGAAGAUGCGGACUACCUGCACCAGGACAGAAAGACCCUAUGAAGCUUUACUGUAACUUGAAAUUGAAAUUGGACUUUAUUCGCGCAGUAUAGGUGGGAGGCGUUGAUUAUAAUCUUGCGGGAUUAUUGGAGCCAUUAGUGAGAUACCACUCUUGUAAUGUUAGAUUUCUAACUUUGAAUCAUUAUCUGGUCAAAGAACAGUUUCAGGCGGGCAGUUUGACUGGGGCGGUCGCCUCCUAAACGGUAACGGAGGCGUACAAAGGUUUCCUCUGAACGGUUAGAAAUCGUAUCUAGAGUGUAAAGGCAUAAGGAAGCUUGACUGUGAGACCUACAAGUCGAGCAGGGACGAAAGUCGGUCUUAGUGAUCUGACGGUACUGAGUGGAAAGGCCGUCACUCAACGGAUAAAAGUUACUCUAAGGAUAACAGGCUGAUCUCCCCCAAGAGUUCACAUCGACGGGGAGGUUUGGCACCUCGAUGUCGGCUCAUCGCAUCCUGGGGCGGUAGUACGUCCCAAGGGUUGGGCUGUUCGCCCAUGAAAGCGGUACGCGAGCUGGGUUCAGAACGUCGUGAGACAGUUCGGUCCAUAUCCGGUGUAGGCGUUAAAUAUUGAGAGGAGCCUUCUUUAGUACGAGAGGACCGAGAAGGACAUACCUCUGGUGUACCAGUUAUCGUGCCAAUGGUAAACGCUGGGUAGCUAUGUAUGGAGUGGAUAACCGCUGAAAGCAUCUAAGUGGGAAGCCCACCUCAAGAUAAGUAUUCUCA
This 1242-nucleotide ribosomal RNA is filed under the name metagenome. RNAcentral's name for it is "bacterial LSU rRNA". It matches the Rfam family "Bacterial large subunit ribosomal RNA", at positions 1564 to 2816 of the family's 2925-position model. The record is from RNAcentral.